AAACUAGAGCACUCAAAGGAAACUCAUGUGGUCACAGAAAGAAUGUACAAACUCCUCACAGACAGCACCUGUAGUCAGGAUUCAACCCAGAUCUCUGGUGCUAUAAGGCAGCAACUGUGCCACCACAACAUGUUAAGAACACGUCAGGUUGCUUUAAGCUGUUUGCCACAGUAAUCUGCCAUGUGACAGGAAGUAUUUGUCAUGUGCUGGAAGUUGCUUGUUCAUAAGUAUAAAGGAGACAGUUCCAUUACAGAGAUAAACUUUGGACUGGGUUGGACUUGGUGCAAAGGACCAUAAAUACAGAAAGUAUGAUUAUAAAUUUGCUGCUACCAUGGAUUUGUAACAGUGGAAGGGAUGUAAAAACAUUGUUAUGGUAUCUUUUGAGAACUGCCUGUUUCUUACAUUGGUAGACUUUGCCUUCAGACUAAAAUUAUGACUGGGCAGUGUCAAGAACUACUGAAGACUCUUGGAUUUGCUGUUACCAGGAGCAGCAGAGGGCUUGUAAGAAGUUCUUGUUCUGGAUAAAAUCAUUUUUUAGUAGCGAGGUGGAAAAUCAGGUUGUAUAGAUUUAAAAUGCAGACAUAAAAUGCUGAAAUAUUCACCAGGCCGGGCAGCAUCAGCAGAAAUGUUGUUUGCGAUGUUUAAAUCCUAUAAAAGUAAAAUUAAUGCUUUUUUGGUAACAAUCACCUGCCGUGACCUUGUAAGAAGAUUGGUGGAACACCUAGCCGAAUAACAAACACCUGUUUGAACCAUUCAAUAUGGUUUAUUUAUAUGUAAAUAAGUUAUGUGAGUAUCUAACAAUCACACAUAACAAGCAUGCAAAGUACACAGUGAAAGUUUGUUCAGUUGCUUCUGAAAGAUUAUUGAAAUGAAAACUUACAAGUACCUCAAGAUGGGUUUAAAUACCAUUUCCAAGUGAACUACAUCUAGCAGCAUACAUUGCCACAAUAAAUAACUUGUAUUUGCUCUGGAAAUAAGGUGAAGAAUUCAUGAUUUGAAACUCCGAUUGAGUUACUGAAUGUUACUAAUUGUCACCACAGCAAACCUUCACAGCCAGAGAUAGAAAAUAAAGGUCAAUGUUUUCUUGGAUGCCAAGUGAGGCAGUAAGGUACAGGCAGAUGUUGUCUCUAAUGUGUGAAAUUUAAGUGCCACUUCUGUUCUUUAAAGGUAUAUAGAAGCAAAUAGUAGUGAGAACAUGGAUACUGAAUGCUAAUGGAAAAGAGCAUAAAAAGAGAUUGGCUGGUACCUUUUGCACACUUACUAUGGUGGUAGCCCAACAGAAAGUUAUGUGUGCCCUUCACAAAAGUAAUAGGGAUACUGAAGAUUUAAGGGCCUGUCCCAUUUGGGCGUCAUUUGCGCCUUAUUUACGCGUCAUGUUGAAAAUUGGUCGACGCAUCGUGACGCGUGGGUGGUGCGUGGGUGACGCACGCAUAGCGCAUGGUGAGGCGUGGAAUCGCAAGUUGUGGCGCGCAGUAUCACGCGGCGCUCCAGGAUUUUGUGGCGUACCAAAAUCCUCGCGCACCACCUGCGUGACAUAUCACUUACGCAUGCUGAUGCAUUGGUUAUGCACGCUGACGCAUUGGUGUCGCACGCUAACGUCCCGACGUCGCAUGCAUAUCGCGUGGUGACGUCACCGUGCAUCAACGUCCGUAAAUAUGCAUUGCCGCGCGCCACCCAUAUGCUGUCGGCCCGCCUUUUACGCGUCAUGUGAGCGCCGCAUCGUGUCACAACCCGGAUAUAAAGCGUGCGAGUUUUGAAAUUUUUGACUCACCGGAGUACUUGCCAGGAAGUUCGAACUACAUCGCGAAUUGCUCCUAAAAGAAGCAGGGCCCUCAGGAACAAAGUUCAAAAGAAGCCAGCCAUGCAGGAGCAGAACCAGGUGAAGCAGAUUGAGGUCCAGGAGGAUCCAGCCCCUGUUCCUAGCCAUGCUGCUGCUCCCGCUCCUGCUCCUGCCCCUGCUCCUGCCCUAGCUCCUGCCCCAGCUGCGGAAUGGGACUCUGAUUUGACUCAGGACACUGAUGCCUCAGCUGGGUCACUAAUUAAGAAGAAGAAGAGGCUUAUGGUAACAAAGCCUUAUGAUUUUAGCAGGGAAGAAGAGGGGGACCUGGUAGAUUGGUAUCAGGCCCACCCAGAGUUGUAUGGCAAAGUCCACCGGAAUUUCAGGAGCACGGAUCUUCGGAAUUCGCUGCUGGAAAACAAGGCGAAGGAGUUCUCUGGCUGCAGUUAUGACCAACUGUGCCAAUGGUUCAAAAGCCAGAGGAGAAGGUUCGGCUGUCGCACAGUCUGCAUAAGUCUGGCUCUGCCAGUAAGCCGGUGACUGACAGACAGCAGUGGAUCAUGGAGAAAUGGGGGUUUGUGCAGAACCACAUAGUUCCAGUGGAGAGGAAAGAGAGCUCCAAGAAGUUUAUCAAGGAUAAAUGCCCAUGCGUCAUUUCUAGUGAUGAUGUGCCGGAUCCUCUUGAGGGACCCUCUGGGUCCAGCACUGUUGCCAAACAGCAAGCGGAUGCCGGCACGCACAACUGCGCCUGAAUGUGAAGAGGCUGGAGAGCAAAGUCAGCGGGAGGUGUUC
Long non-coding RNA from Amblyraja radiata (thorny skate), 2569 nucleotides. RefSeq lists it as uncharacterized. The transcript is spliced from 3 exons. The record is from RefSeq and is a predicted model, not a curated record. Lineage: Eukaryota; Metazoa; Chordata; Chondrichthyes; Rajiformes; Rajidae.